Molecule: long non-coding RNA, 1971 nt
Organism: Nerophis ophidion (straightnose pipefish)
Lineage: Eukaryota; Metazoa; Chordata; Actinopteri; Syngnathiformes; Syngnathidae
Exons: 3
Source: RefSeq, a predicted model, not a curated record
AAUAGUUCUUCAUUGCUCUGUUUUUCUUGUGUAAAUAUUAUUUCUAAACUUUCAUAAUACUUUAAAAGUUAAAACAUUGAUGUUGUAGGUAUAAGUGAUGUGUUGUUUUAAGUAUUUUUUUUAUGCACAAAUUUGUUAAGUAAGGAUUAGAGCGUCGAAUGUUUGAAAUGUUUGGUCAUAAUUACACAUGGUAUUUACACAGGUAUCACUCCGCCAGAAAAGUAGAGACCUGUUUAUGUGUUUCGUGUUUCCAAAACAGGGGACGGCGUGGCGCAGUUGGGAGAGUGGCUGUGCCCGCAACCUGAGGGAUCCUGGUUCAAUCCCCACCUUCUACCAUCUUAGUCACGUCCAUUGUGUCCUUGAGCAAGACACUUCACCCUUUCUCCUGACGGGUGCUGGUUAGCGCCUUGCAUGGCAGCUCCCGCCAUCAGUGUGUGAAUGGGUGAACGUGGAUAUAGUGUCAAAGUCCCGAAAAAAAAAAGGCAGAAAAGCGCUAUACAGCAUAAAAGGGGAGAAGGAAGACCAAUCGUGGCAGAAGUAGGAGAAGGAACAACGGACAACGAAGACGACGAGAGCGACCAGGAGAAAGAUGAGCCCCCGCGGAAGACGCAGCCACCGGCCACCGAAAGGCGCGCUGAGACGAGCAGGAAGGGAGGUUGUGCUAGAAAUUGGCGCGACCGACUGGAACCAAAACUUGUUCAUUGAAAGAAUAAACGAGAGUCAAACCUGCUACAAUGCGUCUUGCAUCGAUGGUCACUGACCCCCACACGAUGACGGCUGGAGACCUGUCACAGAUAGCUUGUGCACUACGUCAACCCCUGUCUGCUCAUCAUGGUCUUCCUUUACUCCUGUCAGCCAACAGGAUGUUCAGGUUUUAGUGGGCAAGAUGAAACCCACAUCAAACCCUGUGGAUAUUGUUCCUACUCCACUGUUCUUAAAUGCUUUCGAUGUUGUUGGUCCUUGGGUGUUAAAACUGAUAAACAUUUCACUUCAGUCCGACUCGAUCCCCAGCUUUUUUUUAAAAUGCUGUGGUGAAUCCCGUUCUUAAAAAAAUCUCAUCUUGGUCCGGUGGAGCCUAAAAAUUACCGUCCCUUAUCAAUGUCAAAAGUCAUGGACAAAGUGUUUGCUAAGCAGCUAACCUCAUUUUUGGAACAGCAUGACUUUUAUGAUAAAUACCAAUCUGGCUUUAGGUCAUUUCACUUUAUAGAAACUGCUGUUUUAAAUGUUUCCAGUGACAUGAUGAUGACCGCUGACUCUGGUCGCCACACAGUUUUGGUUUUACUCGAUUUGACAUCUGGCUUUGAUACUCUGGAUCUAGGACUGGGCGAUAUAUCGAUAUACACGAUAUAUCGUGGGUUUGUCUCUGUGCGAAAUAGAAAAUGACUAUAUCGUGAUAUUCUGGUAUACGUUGUCACUCAUUUGCUUUUAGCUGCGGGCAUUACAUUACAGGCUCUUCUCGCUCUUUCCUGUGUCUCCUUCUCACAGACAGCAAGCACACAUUCUUACAUACGUCACAUACUGUCACGUCAUACGUCACAUACGUAUACGUCCUCGCAGAGCGGAGAGGUAGCAGCAUGGGUAUUGUUAGCUGUGAUGCUACCAGAGCCGUGCGAGUGGUAAUACGAGAGAAAGAAGGAAUAAUCAAUUCCCAAGAAAAACAGCAGGGGGUCCAUCGUGUGGCGAUGGUUUGGCUUCAAGUAGGAAUAUGUCGAACAGACAACCGUAAUUUGUCAAGUGUGGGCCAAAAGUGUUGCUACCAAAAGUAGCAUUACUGCUAAUAUGUAGCAUCAUUUGAAAAGUCACAUGCUAGAGAAUGAAGAGUGCUUACUGCGCAUGUCAAAAUCUCCAUCAAAAUGCAGAGGCAAACUUUUCCAGAUCAACACCGUAUGAAAAACAUAGUCAAGAACAGAAUUUAAUAACGUCCUUAGUAACCUACCACAUAGCGAAGGACGAACACUAUUUGAUGUCCUA